AGGGUUCGAUUCUGGCUCAGGAUGAACGCUGGCGGCGUGCUUAACACAUGCAAGUCGAACGAAGCGCUUUGGCGGAAGUUUUCGGAUGGAAGCAAAAGUGACUGAGUGGCGGACGGGUGAGUAACGCGUGGGUAACCUGCCCUGUACAGGGGGAUAACAGUUAGAAAUGACUGCUAAUACCGCAUGAGCGCACAGUACCGCAUGGUACGGUGUGAAAAACUCCGGUGGUACAGGAUGGGCCCGCGUCUGAUUAGCUGGUUGGCGGGGUAACGGCCCACCAAGGCGACGAUCAGUAGCCGGCCUGAGAGGGUGGACGGCCACAUUGGGACUGAGACACGGCCCAA
Molecule: ribosomal RNA, 344 nt
Filed under: uncultured bacterium
Lineage: Bacteria
Description: bacterial SSU rRNA
Rfam family: Bacterial small subunit ribosomal RNA
Source: RNAcentral